This 77-nucleotide microRNA precursor is filed under the name Pan paniscus (pygmy chimpanzee). Its description in RNAcentral is "mir-1290 microRNA precursor family". It matches the Rfam family "mir-1290 microRNA precursor family". Lineage: Eukaryota; Metazoa; Chordata; Mammalia; Primates; Hominidae. RNAcentral also lists the same sequence under 1 other name. The record is from Rfam by way of RNAcentral.
GAGUGUCAUGUUGGCACUCAAAAAAGUUUCAGAUUUUAGAGCAUUUUGGAUUUUGGAUUUUUGGAUUAGGGAUACUC